RNAcentral lists this ribosomal RNA (101 nucleotides) under Ramaria stricta. RNAcentral's name for it is "partial 5.8S ribosomal RNA". It matches the Rfam family "5.8S ribosomal RNA", at positions 56 to 154 of the family's 154-position model. Rfam says of the family: 5.8S ribosomal RNA (5.8S rRNA) is a component of the large subunit of the eukaryotic ribosome. Lineage: Eukaryota; Fungi; Basidiomycota; Agaricomycetes; Gomphales; Gomphaceae. The record is from RNAcentral.
CGAACGUAAUGUGAAUUGCAGAAUUCAGUGAAUCAUCGAAUCUUUGAACGCAUCUUGCGCUCCUUGGUAUUCCGAGGAGCAUGCCUGUUUGAGUGUCGUGA